AGUGAACGCUGGCGGUAGGCCUAACACAUGCAAGUCGAACGGCAGCACAGUAAGAGCUUGCUCUUACGGGUGGCGAGUGGCGGACGGGUGAGGAAUACAUCGGAAUCUACUUUUUCGUGGGUGAUAACGUAGGGAAACUUACGCUACUACCGCAUACGACCUACGGGUGAAAGCAGGGGAUCUUCGCACCUUGCGCGAUUGAAUGAGCCGAUGUCGGAUUAGCUAGUUGGCGGGGUAAAGGCCCACCAAGGCGACGAUCCGUAGCUGGUCUGAGAGGAUGAUCAGCCACACUGGAACUGAGACACGGUCCAGACUCCUACGGGAGGCAGCAGUGGGGAAUAUUGGACAAUGGGCGCAAGCCUGAUCCAGCCAUACCGCGUGGGUGAAGAAGGCCUUCGGGUUGUAAAGCCCUUUUGUUGGGAAAGAAAAGCAGCAGGUUAAUACCCCGCUGUUCUGACGGUACCCAAAGAAUAAGCACCGGCUAACUUCGUG
RNAcentral lists this ribosomal RNA (492 nucleotides) under uncultured bacterium. RNAcentral describes it as "partial 16S ribosomal RNA". It matches the Rfam family "Bacterial small subunit ribosomal RNA", at positions 29 to 507 of the family's 1533-position model. The record is from RNAcentral.